CGUUCCGAACUUCGCAAAUUCGUUGCCAAGUUCAAAAGUUCAUAAUGAAAUUCACAAACAGGUUUGUAAACAAAGCCUCUGAUUGGCUAUUAAACCAAACCAGCCAAUCAAAUGCCCAGUUUACAAACCUGUUUGUGAAUUUCAUUAUGAACUUUUGAACUUGGCAACGAAUUUGCGAAGUUCGGAACGAAGUUCGGAAUCUUACGAUGAAAGGUCAGCUGAAAUUGACUGUAAUAUGCG
Molecule: long non-coding RNA, 240 nt
Filed under: Paramuricea clavata
Lineage: Eukaryota; Metazoa; Cnidaria; Anthozoa; Malacalcyonacea; Plexauridae
Source: RNAcentral